This 512-nucleotide ribosomal RNA is filed under the name Guignardia sp. FLS-2010. Its description in RNAcentral is "eukaryotic LSU rRNA". The stretch from base 193 to 346 matches the Rfam family "5.8S ribosomal RNA". Lineage: Eukaryota; Fungi; Ascomycota; Dothideomycetes; Botryosphaeriales; Phyllostictaceae. The record is from RNAcentral.
CGCUACAACGCCGAAAUGCCUUUCUCACCCUGGUGUACUCACAAUGUUGCUUUGGCGGGUCGACCUGGUUCCGACCCAGGCGGCCGGCGCCCCCAGCCUUAACUGGCCAGGACGCCCGGUAAGUGCCCGCCCAGUAUACAAAACUCAAGAAUUCAUUUUGUGAAGUCCUGAUAUAUCCAUUUAAUUGAUUAAAACUUUCAACAACGAUCUCUUUGGUUCUGGCAUCGAUGAAGAACGCAGCGAAAUGCGAUAAGUAAUGUGAAUUGCAGAAUUCAGUGAAUCAUCGAAUCUUUGAACGCACAUUGCGCCCUCUGGUAUUCCGGAGGGCAUGCCUGUUCGAGCGUCAUUUCAACCCUCAAGCUCUGCUUGGUAUUGGGCAACGUCCGCUGCCGGACGUGCCUUGAAGACCUCGGCGACGGCGUCCUAGCCUCGAGCGUAGUAGUAAAAUAUCUCGCUUUGGAGUGCUGGGCGACGGCCGCCGGACAAUCGACCUUCGGUCUAUUUUUCCAAGG